Molecule: ribosomal RNA, 504 nt
Filed under: uncultured bacterium
Lineage: Bacteria
Description: bacterial SSU rRNA
Rfam family: Bacterial small subunit ribosomal RNA
Source: RNAcentral
CGGCCUUCGGGUUGUAAACCUCUUUUAGUAGGGAAGAAGCGUAACAGUGACGGUACCUGCAGAAAAAGCACCGGCUAACUACGUGCCAGCAGCCGCGGUAAUACGUAGGGUGCAAGCGUUGUCCGGAAUUAUUGGGCGUAAAGAGCUCGUAGGCGGUUUGUCGCGUCUGCUGUGAAAACCCGAGGCUCAACCUCGGGCCUGCAGUGGGUACGGGCAGACUAGAGUGCGGUAGGGGAGAUUGGAAUUCCUGGUGUAGCGGUGGAAUGCGCAGAUAUCAGGAGGAACACUAAUGGCGAAGGCAGAUCUCUGGGCCGUAACUGACGCUGAGGAGCGAAAGCAUGGGGAGCGAACAGGAUUAGAUACCCUGGUAGUCCAUGCCGUAAACGUUGGGAACUAGAUGUGGGGACCAUUCCACGGUCUCCGUGUCGCAGCUAACGCAUUAAGUUCCCCGCCUGGGGAGUACGGCCGCAAGGCUAAAACUCAAAGGAAUUGACGGAAUCACUA